AUUGAACGCUGGCGGAAUGCUUUACACAUGCAAGUCGAACGGCAGCACGGGGGCAACCCUGGUGGCGAGUGGCGAACGGGUGAGUAAUACAUCGGAACGUGCCCGGUCGUGGGGGAUAACGUAGCGAAAGUUACGCUAAUAACGCAUACGAUCUGAGGCUGCAAGCGGGGGACCUUCGGGCCUCGCGCGCUCGGAGCGGCCGAUGUGAGAUUAGGUAGCUGGUGGGGUAAAGGCCUACCAAGCCGACGAUCUGUAGCUGGUCUGAGAGGACGACCAGCCACACUGGGACGGGGACACGGCCCAGACUCCUACGGGAGGCAGCAGUGGGGAAUUGUGGACAAUGGGCGCAAGCCUGAUCCAGCCAGUCCGCGUGCAGGACGAAGGCCUUCGGGUUGUAAACUGCUUUUGUAUGGAACGAAAAGGCUCUGGCUAAUACCUGGGGCUCAUGACGGUACCGUAAGAAUAAGCACCGGCUAACUACGUG
RNAcentral lists this ribosomal RNA (484 nucleotides) under uncultured bacterium. Its description in RNAcentral is "partial 16S ribosomal RNA". It matches the Rfam family "Bacterial small subunit ribosomal RNA", at positions 29 to 507 of the family's 1533-position model. The record is from RNAcentral.